This is a small nucleolar RNA of Sorex araneus (European shrew), 118 nucleotides long. RefSeq annotates it as small nucleolar RNA U109. The transcript has a single exon. Lineage: Eukaryota; Metazoa; Chordata; Mammalia; Eulipotyphla; Soricidae. The record is from RefSeq and is a predicted model, not a curated record.
UUGCAAGUGGAAAUGCCUGCUCUUCCUUAGGGGCAUAAAUAUGUUCAUAACAUUCUAUAUUAAAAAGAAAAAAGUUUUCAGGGCUAUGGUUUGGUAGUAGUAUAAUUCUUGUAUACAC